RNAcentral lists this ribosomal RNA (685 nucleotides) under Halomonas taeheungii. RNAcentral's name for it is "bacterial SSU rRNA". It matches the Rfam family "Bacterial small subunit ribosomal RNA", at positions 30 to 712 of the family's 1533-position model. The record is from RNAcentral. Lineage: Bacteria; Pseudomonadati; Pseudomonadota; Gammaproteobacteria; Oceanospirillales; Halomonadaceae.
CGGAANUUNUCGGGCGGCCUUACACAUGCAAGUCGAGCGGUAACAGAUCUAGCUUGCUAGAUGCUGACGAGCGGCGGACGGGUGAGUAAUGCAUAGGAAUCUGCCCGGUAGUGGGGGAUAACCUGGGGAAACCCAGGCUAAUACCGCAUACGUCCUACGGGAGAAAGGGGGCUUCGGCUCCCGCUAUUGGAUGAGCCUAUGUCGGAUUAGCUCGUUGGUGAGGUAAAGGCUCACCAAGGCAACGAUCCGUAGCUGGUCUGAGAGGAUGAUCAGCCACAUCGGGACUGAGACACGGCCCGAACUCCUACGGGAGGCAGCAGUGGGGAAUAUUGGACAAUGGGGGCAACCCUGAUCCAGCCAUGCCGCGUGUGUGAAGAAGGCCUUCGGGUUGUAAAGCACUUUCAGCGAGGAAGAACGCCUAGUGGUUAAUACCCAUUAGGAAAGACAUCACUCGCAGAAGAAGCACCGGCUAACUCCGUGCCAGCAGCCGCGGUAAUACGGAGGGUGCAAGCGUUAAUCGGAAUUACUGGGCGUAAAGCGCGCGUANGUGGCUUGAUAAGCCGGUUGUGAAAGCCCCGGGCUCAACCUGGGAACGGCAUCCGGAACUGUCAGGCUAGAGUGCAGGAGAGGAAGGUAGAAUUCCCGGUGUAGCGGUGAAAUGCGUUUAGAUUUGGAGGAAUACCUC